Danio rerio (zebrafish) is the source of this 949-nucleotide non-coding RNA. The record is from Ensembl. Lineage: Eukaryota; Metazoa; Chordata; Actinopteri; Cypriniformes; Danionidae.
UGAUCGAUUCUGAUCAUCCCGCUGCACAACUCUGAGCAAAUCUCCCCUUGGCUGAGUUACAUCAGUUUGGAAAGUUGUUUUGGAGUUGUUGAUGAUGACGCUGCGACGCUCACAGAGGACCAGGACUCUCCCCGGACACCUCAGGGACUUCUUGCUGGAGCGACACCUCAAGAACGCGGCUGUCCUUCCUGCCCUUCGUCCCGCAGCCCCAGUCCCGCCAGUGGGUGAGUGUCUGCAGGAAGAGCCGCUGUCCAUCCACGGCCGGAGUGUGGAGGAAUACCAGGGCAUCUACCGCAGUGUGAUGGACUCCACAGUGAAGAAGCCUGCUGGCCGAUACACCCUUCAGAAAGGAUUGGAGGUAAAGCAGCGGCUGUGGGAGAAGCUGGGCCGGCCUGCGCUGCUGGAGACCGAGCAGCCUGAUGGACGUGUGCUCAUCACGGAGAUCAGGUCCGAGUCCAGCGUCCCCCCUCAGAUCAAGGUGGACAUUAGCAAGGAGCCACUGCCCAAGGAGCCCCGGAGGAAGAGGCCCAGGCACUGAGCCAUCCUAGUGCCAGAUGAAGGAUCAUGGGCACGAAGGAGUUCCUCAGACAGGAAGUGGAGACCAGUACUUUAGGAAGCCCUGCUGCUGCUGUUGCUGAGUGUCUAGAGCACCUGCAGUCCAGAUACUGGAUCUCUGCUCACCUGCACUCGACUCAACUCUGAUGCAGCACCAGGUUAAGAAAAAUGAAUAACUCUGCCCCGAAGAUCAGCAAGUUUCUCUAAGUUGACUAAUGUCUUCAUUCUGAAGAUUGUGGAGGAAUCUUCUAGGAGAAGCUUGAGUUUGAUCCAAAAUGGCUGGCCAUCCUGAAUUGGACAGACAAACCUUCAGAAACCAACCCACAGUUGCUGGAACCCCUUCGCUGGACAACAGACAACACAGCAGAUACAAAACACAUGACAAUGAUCACAG